RNAcentral lists this ribosomal RNA (476 nucleotides) under uncultured bacterium. RNAcentral's name for it is "partial 16S ribosomal RNA". It matches the Rfam family "Bacterial small subunit ribosomal RNA", at positions 28 to 523 of the family's 1533-position model. The record is from RNAcentral.
GAUGAACGCUGGCGGCGUGCUUAACACAUGCAAGUCGAGCGAGAUUAUUCUUCGGAAUAGUCUAGCGGCGGACGGGUGAGUAACACGUGGGCAACCUGCCUUGCAUAGGGGGAUAGCCUUCCGAAAGGAAGAUUAAUACCGCGUAAUGUUAUUGAAAGGCAUCUUUCGAUAAUCAAAGGAGCAAUCCGCUACAAGAUGGGCCCGCGGCGCAUUAGCUAGUUGGAGAGGUAACGGCUCACCAAGGCGACGAUGCGUAUCCGACCUGAGAGGGUGAUCGGCCACAUUGGGACUGAGACACGGCCCAGACUCCUACGGGAGGCAGCAGUGGGGAAUAUUGCACAAUGGGGGAAACCCUGAUGCAGCAACGCCGCGUGAGUGAUGACGGCCUUCGGGUUGUAAAGCUCUGUCUUUGGGGACGAUAAUGACGGUACCCAAGGAGGAAGUCACGGCUAACUACGUGCCAGCCGCCGCGGUAA